GGACAGAUGGGAGCUUGCUCCCUGAUGUUAGCGGCGGACGGGUGAGUAACACGUGGGUAACCUGCCUGUAAGACUGGGAUAACUCCGGGAAACCGGGGCUAAUACCGGAUGCUUGUUUGAACCGCAGGUUCAAACAUAAAAGGUGGCUUCGGCUACCACUUACAGAUGGACCCGCGGCGCAUUAGCUAGUUGGUGAGGUAACGGCUCACCAAGGCAACGAUGCGUAGCCGACCUGAGAGGGUGAUCGGCCACACUGGGACUGAGACACGGCCCAGACUCCUACGGGAGGCAGCAGUAGGGAAUCUUCCGCAAUGGACGAAAGUCUGACGGAGCAACGCCGCGUGAGUGAUGAAGGUUUUCGGAUCGUAAAGCUCUGUUGUUAGGGAAGAACAAGUGCCGUUCAAAUAGGGCGGCACCUUGACGGUACCUAACCAGAAAGCCACGGCUAACUACGUGCCAGCAGCCGCGGUAAUACGUAGGUGGCAAGCGUUGUCCGGAAUUAUUGGGCGUAAAGGGCUCGCAGGCGGUUUCUUAAGUCUGAUGUGAAAGCCCCCGGCUCAACCGGGGAGGGUCAUUGGAAACUGGGGAACUUGAGUGCAGAAA
Molecule: ribosomal RNA, 603 nt
Filed under: Bacillus sp. (in: firmicutes)
Lineage: Bacteria; Bacillati; Bacillota; Bacilli; Caryophanales; Bacillaceae
Description: bacterial SSU rRNA
Rfam family: Bacterial small subunit ribosomal RNA
Source: RNAcentral